RNAcentral lists this long non-coding RNA (541 nucleotides) under Amborella trichopoda. RNAcentral's name for it is "long non-coding RNA (ATRI_LNC005039)". Lineage: Eukaryota; Viridiplantae; Streptophyta; Magnoliopsida; Amborellales; Amborellaceae. The record is from RNAcentral.
UUUUUUAACCUAAACAAAUGUGAGAAAACAUACUCUUUUUAAACCCAAUCCUUUCUCUUUCUUCACUUAUAUAUCCCAAACUUUUCUUUUUGUCUCUCUUCAUGUGUAUGUCACUCUCUUUUUCUUCUCGUGUUUUUUCAAACAUCUCUCUCUUUCUGAUAACCUCUCACCUCCAUAAUCCUUUUUGUCUCUCUAGAAGUUUGGGAGGAUGGUUUUUUAAAAAUGUAUGUAUUUUUAGAUUUGUUUGACCUAAAAAAACAAAUUUACAUUAACUCAGGAGAUUAGAAGAAAUAAAAUCUAUGAUUUUUAUGCCUCAAGAUAUAUUUUAAAACCUUGGGUUUAUUCGGAGAUCCAAAAUCUUUUUCUCUUUUAUAUUCUUACAUCUCAAUGUCGAGAUGAUUGAUUAGAGGUUUUUUCAACAUUAAAACAAUUUUUUCCUAUGGAUUUUUGAAGUACAUAUAUAAUUCUAAAUUUUAAGAUUGCAAUCAUAUAUAAACUUUUUCCAAAAAUAAAUGAAACAAAAUAAACAUUGAAGUAAGGG